AGUGUUUUCUUCACUCAUGGUGAAGAAUGGGGGAGAUAGAAGGAACAUACAGAGUCCUGCAGACUGCAGGGACGCGCUUGGGUGCCCAGACCCCUGUGGGAGUUAGCACCCUUGAGCCUGGGCAGGCUCUCUUGCCCAGAAUGCAAGAGAAGCACCUGCACCUCAGAGUAAAGCUGCUGGACCACACCUUGGAAAUAUUUGACAUUGAGCACUGUUAUUCUCUUUUAUACUUGGGAAAACAGAGGUACAGAGGUUUUUUUGAAAAACUUAACCGGGUACUAGAGGUUCCAGCCAGAGCAAUUAGGAAAAAAGAAAGGGAGGGAGGAGAAAAGAAAGGAAGAGAGGGAGGACAUCCACAUUGGAAAGGAACCUAAAUGCGAUGGCCAGGUAUUACUGACACAAGUGUGGAAGCGUUUAAACCUGGUAGAAUGUGACUACUUCGGG
RNAcentral lists this small RNA (444 nucleotides) under Pongo abelii (Sumatran orangutan). RNAcentral describes it as "processed transcript". Lineage: Eukaryota; Metazoa; Chordata; Mammalia; Primates; Hominidae. The record is from RNAcentral.